RNAcentral lists this ribosomal RNA (425 nucleotides) under uncultured bacterium. Its description in RNAcentral is "partial 16S ribosomal RNA". It matches the Rfam family "Bacterial small subunit ribosomal RNA", at positions 354 to 796 of the family's 1533-position model. The record is from RNAcentral.
GUGGGGAAUAUUGGACAAUGGGGGCAACCCUGAUCCAGCCAUGCCGCGUGAGUGAUGAAGGCCUUCGGGUUGUAAAGCUCUUUUGGUGGGGACGAUGAUGACGGUACCCACAGAAUAAGCUCCGGCUAACUUCGUGCCAGCAGCCGCGGUAAUACGAAGGGAGCUAGCGUUGUUCGGAAUUACUGGGCGUAAAGGGCGCGUAGGCGGUCAGGCAAGUCAGGUGUGAAAGCCCUGGGCUCAACCCGGGAAUUGCGCUUGAUACUACUUGGCUUGAAUUCGGGAGAGGUUGGUGGAAUUCCCAGUGUAGAGGUGAAAUUCGUAGAGAUUGGGAAGAACACCCGUGGCGAAGGCGGCCAACUGGACCGACAUUGACGCUGAGGCGCGAAAGCGUGGGGAGCAAACAGGAUUAGAAACCCCGGUAGUCC